AUUCCAUUACCUUAUCCUUACCCAUGAGGUUCCAACAUUUUAUCCUUAAUUGACCUAGGAGUUGUUCCCGGGCAUCCUCAAAAAAAAGGUUAUUAUACACCCCAACCCCAUCCCUUGGAAAAAAAAAGGUAGCACCGAAGAAAGGAAAGAGCGAUGUUCCCGGGCAUCCUCAAAAAAAGGGUUAUUAUACACCCCAACCCCAUCCCUUGGAAAAUAAAAGGUAGCACCGAAGAAAGGAAAGAGUGAGAUGGUGGUUUUUGUUGUUCCCGCGAAGCGAAGAUCAUUCGCUUGGC
This 293-nucleotide long non-coding RNA is filed under the name Nicotiana benthamiana. RNAcentral's name for it is "long non-coding RNA (NBEN_LNC009787)". The record is from RNAcentral. Lineage: Eukaryota; Viridiplantae; Streptophyta; Magnoliopsida; Solanales; Solanaceae.